Molecule: ribosomal RNA, 301 nt
Filed under: uncultured bacterium
Lineage: Bacteria
Description: partial 16S ribosomal RNA
Rfam family: Bacterial small subunit ribosomal RNA
Source: RNAcentral
CAGCAGCCGCGGGAAUACGUAGGUGGCAAGCGUUGUCCGGAAUUAUUGGGCGUAAAGGGCUCGCAGGCGGUUUCUUAAGCCUGAUGUGAAAGCCCCCGGCUCAACCGGGGAGGGUCAUUGGAAACUGGGAAACUUGAGUGCAGAAGAGGAGAGUGGAAUUCCACGUGUAGCGGUGAAAUGCGUAGAGAUGUGGAGGAACACCAGUGGCGAAGGCGACUCUCUGGUCUGUAACUGACGCUGAGGAGCGAAAGCGUGGGGAGCGAACAGGAUUAGAUACCCCAGUAGUCCCUGUCUCUUAUAC